This 591-nucleotide ribosomal RNA is filed under the name Lecidea betulicola. Its description in RNAcentral is "SSU rRNA". It matches the Rfam family "Bacterial small subunit ribosomal RNA", at positions 367 to 1210 of the family's 1533-position model. Lineage: Eukaryota; Fungi; Ascomycota; Lecanoromycetes; Lecideales; Lecideaceae. The record is from RNAcentral.
AAUGAAUAGUGAAAGCUAAUUGUACUAUGUGGUNCAAUAUCGAUUUAAUCGAAUAAAAUUCUGGGUAGAAUUAUGAUGAUGACAUUGUCUACCUAUAUUUCUUGACCAAAUUACGUGCCAGCAGUCGCGGUAAUACGUAGAAGAUCAGUGUUAUUCAUCUUUAAUGGGUUUAAAGGGUACUUAGACGNCAAGCCAAGCCUUUCCAAGGCACUAGUUUGCUAGAGUUACUUGUGAGGGGGCACGAAAGUACUGCUGGNGUAGAGAUGGUAAGCACUCCACCUCAAGAGUAAUUUGGCNNCNUUGGAACUGAAAUCAUUAGACCGUUUCUGAAACCAGUAGUGAAGUAUGUUGUUCAAUUAGAAAGCACGCAAAAAACCUUACCACAAUUUGAAUAUUUAUAUUUAGUACUUAAGUAAAUCAGACGAAUAUAUUUACAAGCGUUGCACGGCUGUCUUCAGUUAAUGUCGCGAGACUUUGGUUAGUUCCAUUAAAUUAACGUAAACCCUUACUUUAUUUUUACAUAAAGUAGUUCCCCACUACAGUGGUUAUGAUAAUAGGGAUCAAGGCAAGUCAUCAUGACCUUUAUAUUGU